This 252-nucleotide ribosomal RNA is filed under the name uncultured bacterium. RNAcentral's name for it is "partial 16S ribosomal RNA". It matches the Rfam family "Bacterial small subunit ribosomal RNA", at positions 524 to 776 of the family's 1533-position model. The record is from RNAcentral.
UACGUAGGGGGCUAGCGUUGUCCGGAAUCAUUGGGCGUAAAGCGCGUGUAGGCGGUCCGAUAAGUCGGCUGUGAAAGUCAAGGCUCAACCCUUGAAAGCCGGCCGAUACUGUCGGACUAGAGUCCGGAAGAGGCGAGUGGAAUUCCCGGUGUAGCGGUGAAAUGCGUAGAGAUCGGCAGGAACAGCCCAGGGGAAACCAGCCGACUGGGCAAGUGCUGACGCUGAGGUGCGAGAGCGUGGGGAGCGAACCGG